AGAAUCAACGCUGGCGGCGUGCCUAACACAUGCAAGUCGAACGAGAAAGUGGAGCAAUCCAUGAGUAAAGUGGCGCACGGGUGAGUAACACGUGACUAACCUACCCUUGAGUGGGGAAUAACUUCGGGAAACCGAGGCUAAUACCGCAUAACACCUACGGUCAAAGGAGCAAUUCGCUUAAGGAGGGGUCGCGGCAGAUUAGUUAGUUGGCGGGGUAAUGGCCCACCAAGACGGUGAUCUGUA
Molecule: ribosomal RNA, 243 nt
Filed under: uncultured bacterium
Lineage: Bacteria
Description: partial small subunit ribosomal RNA
Rfam family: Bacterial small subunit ribosomal RNA
Source: RNAcentral